UAAAUGUGUUUAUUGAAUGACAGUUUUUUUUUUAAUCAAAAAUUUUUAAGUAAUGUAGUUGAAAAAUCUUUUGUUACGAUAAACACACAAACUGGUGGUGAUUUGAAACAUAAUGAAAUGUCAAUAGUCAUUUACCUGGUAACAAUUAGUCUAUUGUUCAAAGUUUUUACUACCAACUGGCCUCUUUGGUUUCAUAGCAUUGCUGGACAUAACAGUGCAAACUGUGAUGCUACAGGAAAAAUUUUUAAUAUCAAUUUGACAUGAUAUGUGUAGUUGAAAUGUGUUUCAAUAAGAAUUUGUGUUUUAAAGUAAUAUAUUUUUAUGGAAAUAUUGAUUGAGGAUACAAGGUUUUUUUUGCUAGUGGAAGAAGGAAAAACUUAAGGAAAUUUUCUAGAGUAAAGAUAGUGGUGUUACCCUUAAUGAAUUAGUGUUUUUCUCAUCUGUAAAUCAUGUUGCCCCCGUGAAAUUCAUAAAAGGAAAGUUCACGGAGGGUUCAGCUUUCUUAUAUGUCACGUAGAGAUGUUAGUUUGACAGAAAAGUAUUUUUGUGAAAAUUAAUAUUUCAGGUUUUUUACUGGAAAAUUUUCAGGAAAACUGGAAAAUUUUCCAAGUAAGAUUUCACAGAAACCACACAGUUAAAUAUUAUCUACAUUUGUUUAUACAAAUGGAUCAAAAUAAAAAAUACUUUUUUGUCUUUAUUUACCACCUGAUGGGACACUUAACAUUUGAAAGUUGGGUAGGACUCAUGCUACCAUUUACAAACUGAUAGGAAAUUUUUUUUUUGUAAACAGUACCUACCAAUCUGCAGAAAAUAAAUUAUUGUUUAAAGUAUAUCAACCUAUCUUAAAUUGUGUUAUUCUACGUUGGUAAUGGAAAAAAGGAAAAUAUUUUGGGGAAAUAUGCGAUUGCUUUUUUUUUAAUGUAAAAUUUUCUAUACACAUCUCUAAUUGUCACUGCUGUAAUGAAAUAAAAAAAUUAAAUUACUUUAUAUAAAUUUAAAUUUGAUAGAAUUUUUAACUCUGAAGGACUAGACACAAGAGUCAUCAAAAAGUCACGUAAUUUAAAAGUUAUGAUGCUGGAAGUCACAAUACUUUAAUAUUAUUAAAAAAAUCCUUAAUUUGUCUAAAAUUUAUUAAGGGCCCUUUAAAGUUGUUAAAUUUCACUAAGAAUCCUUAACUCCUUAUUAAAGACUGAUAGCUUACAAGUAAUGCAUAAAUGCAGGUAUUUUAAUGUUCUUUUUUUUUCCGACUUGGCAGCAAACAAUGAUUGGUGUAUGCCGAGUACAAUUUGCAAAUUUCAGGCCAUGUGAUUAUAUUUUAUAUAUAAAAACGUUUUUCAUAGUUUGUAUCUUACCUUUCAACUCAAAAAGGUGUGUUUUAUGAUUUUACUUUGAAUCAUAGUAAAUGGUAGGGGUAUUAAAUUCAGAUAAACACUGCUUGGGUUAGAAGUGCUCCAGAGAUAAUUCUGAACAAUAGGGGCUUAUCUGUAAGAAUUGUACUCACCAACUAAAUGAUUUUUUGUUCAUUAACUAUUAACAUUGUCAUUUGCUUGAGGUACAUUUGUGAUUACAAAUGGUUUUCUACCUUUUGAUAGUAAAGAAAUCCUUAAAAAAAAAAAAAAAAACCUUAAUUUUUUGAUAUCUCAAGAGGGUAUGAACCAUGUUUUUUGAUGGAUUACUUAAGUUUAUAGUUGCACAUAAAAAGUAAGUACAAUUGAGAAUGACCACUUAUAUGUGGAAAUUAUAACUGAAAAUAUUUUAGUUGGUUUGAAAAUCAGUAUGUUCCUGCUAAUUGUAGAAAAAUUUGUGUUAUAUUAGUUCAAGUCUAAUUUUGUUUGUGUGUGUUGUGUGUGUGUAUGUGUAUAAAUUAUAUUUUGAUAAAAAGAACUUAUAGGAAAAAUUUUAUUAAAAGAUCCUGGAAAAGUUAGAUAUAGGUUCACGAGGUAUUUUUUGACAUGUGCCAGGGCAGAGUGCAUCCGCAAGCGGGCUCCCCCCCCCCAACCCCCACACUGCCCAUGCAUAGAAUGGCAAACUUCAGCGUCUUGGCCACACAGUGCAAAGGCGGUGUGGGAGCGGCUGCUGAUAAGGCAUGUUGUGAUUGAUAACCCGCUAUCUGCUGUAUCACCAGAGGCGAGACAGUGAGUGGCCUAAUCUCCACCCCGUCGUCUGUCGUGUUGGUCGUCGUGUGUCACUGUGGCAUGCGGCCCUGAGCACGUAGCGUCGGCAUGUUUUCUGCGCGAGUGGCAAUAACAUGGCCGCCGGAGAUGUGCUGCUCGGCAAACUGUUGCUCACACUGUAUCACAGACACUUGCGUUCCACACAGCCGUCCACCCGUAUUUGCCUUGUCGGCGAUGUUUGCAAUGACGAAGAGCUCUCCGUGGUGGCACAGGCAUUCGGUCUCCCGGUGGUGGUGUCGGAGACUGGUGCAGAAUACGUGGAAGAUGACAGCCAUGUCACAUUGUUCGUGCUGCGAGAGUUUUCAGGGCCCACCUACGACGCCCUUGCACGUCUGAAACAAAGGAUUGUGAGCCCGAUAGUCCUGAGGCAGUGCGCCGUCAGAGGGGAGCCUCUGCCGUGCAAGAAGUGCCCCGUGUACAGCCUCACCAUGUCCGGGGUGGUCGUCUGCUUCACGGGCUUCCGCGUCAAGGAAGACCUGGUGCGGCUGGCGACGUACGUGCACAGCAUGGGCGGCGGUAUCCGCCGCGCGAUGGUGACCAAGGUCACGCACCUGGUGUCCAACUGCUGCAUGGGGGAGAAGUACCAGUACGCCGUGACCUUCCGGGUGCCCAUCAUGUCGGAGGCGUGGGUGAUGGCCUGCUGGGAGCGCCGCCACGACCUGGCGGCCCACGCCGCCAGCGAGGAGCUGAUGGCUAACAAGCUGGACCUGUUCCACGGGGCACGGCUGUGCUUCUACGGGUUCACGGACGACGAGCGGGAGCACAUGGCGGAGAUCCUGCAGGAGAACGGGGGAGUGGUCGUCGAACUGGCCGACAAGAGCUGCACGCACGUGGUGGUUGUAUCCGGUGAAAAAUUCAAUGUGCUCAAGGCUAACCUGGUGGAUCCCGACAUCCGGAACCCCGCCCCCGUCCCCUCGACGGAGUGUCCCCGGGGGGAAGCGGCUGGGACGUCGACCCCUCGGGCCCGCCGCGAGCGGCCGCCCACCCCUCCAGUGGUGUCGCCGGUCGCACGGAGCCCGAGGGUGGCGUCCUUGCCGCCGCUGCCCCCCAGGUGUCGCCCGCGCUCGUCCCUCCCGGCGUUCCUCUCGUGCGGCGGCCGGCCCUCGAGGCCGGGCCCCCUCUGCGACAUCGCGGAGGACGCCCCCGCCGACAAGACCCGCAGGCUGUCCCUCUCCCACACCUCCCCGCACUCCCUCCCCUGCCAGCCCCCACCGGGGACCCGGGAAGAGGAGCGACCAGUAACACAGCCGCGGGUGGUGGACGAUGCGACCGUCCAGAACCUCCCCGAGGCCGAGACGGAGGACGAGUCGUUCAGGGCGCACGUCGUCAAGGCCGAGUGGUUCUGGCAGUCCAUCCAGAACCAGGUCUGCGCGGACGAGAAGGAGUACCUGUUCGAGGACUACUUGGAGUCGAUCAUAUCCCCAAACCGGUCGGGGGCCAUGAGCGGUACACCCGGCUCGUCACUGCGCAACCGCAAGCGCAAGCGGCUGCGCGACACAGUCUCGCGGCUGCUGCAGACCUACGAGUCUCCGACCACGCAGAAGCGGCGUUCGUCCGUGAGUGACGCGGGUCUCCUCAGCAUGAGUGGCUCUUUCCUGGACGCCUCCGGGACCAGCGCUGACCGGCAGAUCGACGAAGAGGCAGAACCAGUUUCGUCUGACACUCCCAGGAAGAACCAGAGUGCAAGGCAGCAAGUGUUCAUGGAACUUGUCCAAACAGAGUCCAAUUACGUCAAAAUCCUGGAGACCAUCAUGGUGGUAUAUAAGGCACCGCUAGAGGACCGGCUGGAGACUGGCGACCCGCUGCUCAGCAAGGUCGAGCUGAACACUGUGUUUGGUAACCUGGGGCCUAUAUACGACAUCCACAAGAAGAUGCUGGCCGACCUCCGGUACGCCUACCACAACUGGAGGGAGGACUUCAGCAUCGGCGAGAUAUUCCUCAAGUUUGCCCCGGACCUGGUGAAGGCGUACCCCUCGUUCGUGAACUUCUUCGAGUGCACCAAGGAGAUGCUGCUGCAGUGCGACCAGACGCGGCCCAGGUUCCACGCGUUCCUCAAGGUCGGCCAGAUGAAGCCCGAGUGCGGGCGGCAGAGCCUCCAGGAGCUGCUCAUCCGACCGGUCCAGAGGCUGCCCAGCAUCAGCCUGCUCCUGAACGACAUCCAGAAGCACACCGCGAAGAGCAACCCCGACCACGCGGCCCUGGAGCAGGCCCUCAGCAAGAUACGCGAGGUCAUGACCUACAUCAACGAAGACAAGAGGAAGACUGAGUCGCAGAUGGUCAUGUUUGGCAUAUACAACGAAAUUGACAGCUGUCCGGCGUAUCUGGUUUCGUCUCAGAGGCACUUCGUAGUUCGCUGUGAGGUCAUGGAACUUAGUGAGGGUCUCAGUGGGAGAGGAGACAUCCUGGUGCUUCAUCUCUUCACAGACGUGCUGGAGGUGUGCAAGAGGCGGUCUAAAGUGUUCAACUCCAUGAAGAGUCCCAACACCACUGGAAGCACGCUGUCCUUGAAGCAGGGGAACUGCAAGCCGUACAAGCACAUCCGCCUCAUGCCCCUGACGCACAUCAAGAAAGUCAUCGACAUACGGGAGACCGAGGACUGCCACAAGGUGUUUGCGCUGAUGUGCCGCGUCCCUCAGGAGCUGAAGGAGAGGGUGUUCUCCUUCACGAUGCUGGACGACGACGCGGACAAGGCCGGCCUGCUGAAGAUCUUCUGCCGGCAAGUGGCCAACGCCUUCUGCCGCACGGACGCUGAAGAGUAUUUGUCGACACUGGACUCAAACCAGUUGGACAUAGACACCAGUGAUGCUUUGGGAGGCACACUAAGCAAGGCGUUCAAGUUUGCAUCUCGGACGCGCAUGAAAGUGGGGCGGGCGUUCAGCUUCAACAAGACGCCUGGCAAAAUGAAGCGAGCAGUGUCGACGAUGGUUAGCCCGUUUGGCAGCACAACCAACCUUACCCCACCAUACCAUCUGUCGCAAAUGAGGCUCGCCAGUUGCAACAACCUCAGUGAGUUGGCGGGACGCCCGGCGCGGGAGGAGACGUACGUGGCCCCCAUGUCGGUGCAGCCCACCAGGAAGAACAAGUGCUCGUCGAUGACCAUGCCUUCCCUCCGCAGGUUAUAACAAUUAGUACAGGGAAGAGGGCUGACGCGCGAAGACUGGUGUCCAGACUCACUGGCCUUGCUGUAUGAGUUCCUUCGCCUCGAUGCGAGGUUAAACUACCUCCAGCAAGACACCAAGAAGGUUAUCAAGUCAUCGUAAUCGGUUGAUCGCUGAUGAUCAGCCUUUUCCACAGCCAGCGUCGUCGUCUUCCCACUCUCGGAUGGUCCUAACUUUCGUUCCCCCCCCCCCCCCAGUUUUCUUCCUCUCGAUCUGGGGACUGUCUUGAGGCCCGCACUCGGUCAGCUGUGUGGGGCUCCAGUUAUCAUGCCUCCCUCUGGCUAGAACUUCUCUAUGUGUGGGCUUGCACUUCAUCAAGGCACGUUUGCAAGUGCAGACUGUUAGUGGUGUCAUCAUGAAUUAUUGGUCCUAAUUUAGUUAUCUGCACCAAAUAUAUAGAGUUUCGUAGUAUGAAAUAUUUUUCUAUAUGAAGUUUUACAUAGAUAAGUAACUGCUGAAGGGAAAUAAAUUAUGAUAUUAAGUAUGUUACUUUUAAGUUUGUUCCCAUUGUGGAACCUUAAUCUUAAUAAAUUAAUAGCACUGAAAUAAACAUUAAAAAGUUAUUUAAGUAGCACUUCUUUUAGCUGCAAUGCCAAGAAACUGCAUCGUUUUGUAAAAUAUUGCACAUUAGAUUUUAUGCUGGCAUAAAACAUUUUAUAAAAAUAUUAGAAAGAUCAGGUGUCCUUUAAAAAUUUAAUGAUAUUUGGUACAAAAAAUAAUUUUCUUCGUCCAAAAUGGUCUCUUUUUAAGGUUGUACAUAUUCUAAGCAGUGCUCAGCUGUGAAUGUGAAGAAUUACCAUUUGUGUGAGCAUUGCACAGUGUUGUGAUAGUUUUGAAUGUAUGGUAAUUUGUUUUCAGUUAGAGAGUGUAACAGUAUUUUGUGAUUUUAUCUAUUUGUGCAGUUAAAGAUGAUUUAAUCGUACAGAGAGAAAGCUUUGGGAAACUGAAAUGGAAUUUUAUCCUCCACUAUCAAAAUUUUAAUUUUUAAUAUGUAUAAUUUUGUUUUAUGCAUAUCUGUAAUAUGAAGUUGACAAUAUAUUUUAAGGCAUACAUAUUCAGACAAACAUCUUUGUAGUUUUGUCAUUCAUUAUAUAGAUUUAUAUGUCAGAAACCAAUGGUUGUUAAUAAAAAAAGUUUUUUUUUUGUGUUAAAAUAUGAGAAAAGCUGUGCAUAAUUUUGAUAGAAAAGAAUUGAACUAAGCCAAAUUACAUAAAAUUUUCAUAAGAGUAUGCAGUUAUGAAUUAGUACAGUAUGUGCUGUAAAUUUAAACAUUGACAAUAGUAAGCUUACAAAAUUAUGAUAUACACUUAUGAAAGCAUGUAGGAGCAGUCAAAAUAAAUGUGACUUUGGUCCUUUCAACUAAUCUCUGCAUUCAAAAUAAAAUUUACAGUUUUUUUUUUUUUUUUUUUUAAUCUAUAACUGUCUGUUGAAUCAAGUUUACUUCAUUACUUAUUUUUCUAUGAGCUGCUUUCUGACUUGAAAAGUGAAACAAUAGACUUUAAAUUUUUUUAAUUUGUGACUGUUAGGAACAGAAGUUAUUGAACUUUUGGGUACUACUCCAGUGAAACAUUUCUGGUUAUUUUGCAGUAUUCUGUGCUACUUAUUUUCUGUGGUCACUAUUCAUGACCAUGUAGAAGCACAUCAAAGUUUUGCUGGUCAGCAAUGCUGAAAGAUGGUCACAAAUAAGAACAAGUUACAACACGACCUUAUAUCUCCUCUUUAUUACUGUUACUCUUCAGUUAUUUUGUGUUUAGUUUGGGUGUCUUUUUUUCAUUAGAUACUUCCAAGAUUUAUGAAGCUGUAGUUUUAUUAUAUUUAAUCAAAAAAUUUACAAGCAGUUAUAAAUCUAAACCAGUUUGUAAAUAUUUGACUACACAUUUGUGGCAAUUUACAAUCGAGAAUUUCAUGUCAUAUCCUAUGUAUCUAUCAUGCAUGACACUUAUCGGUUUAUAAAUUUUGAAAAACCCAAAACAUUGAAGAAAUUGACAUCAGUAGCUAGUAAGGUAUGUACUAGCGCUACUUAGUUAUUUUUGUUACAGUCAAGUUAAAGAAAUUUGUUUUAGGUAUCAUCAUAUUCAUUAUUUAGAUCUGCAGUGUUGUAUACUAUUUGCAUGAAAAAAAAUUCUGUAUUUCAUUCAAAGCAAAAAAGUUAUUAGCAAUACAGUAUUUCAUAGCCUGCUAUCAUAGAAAAAAUAUUUUUGUAUUGCUGCCAAUUAUUUCAGUAAAAACAAAAUUUGUACUUGAGUGUUAAGUUUUGACAAAACAACAAAAAAAAAAAAAUUAAUGUGAAUAUUCUGAUGCGUACUAUGGCAAACGGUUACUAUCUUCGCCUUUUUUUUUUUUUUUUUUUUUGUGUAUUUCCUUUAAUGCAUGUGUGAUCAUUGUGAAUUUGUAAGAACUUGAAAAAAAUGAGAAGCCAGGCACAAAGUUUGAUAAUUUUCUAGUAAGCUUAAUCAAAAGAAUUUUGAUUUCUCUGUUCUCAUUGUCAAUUUUUUAUAGUGUGGUAACAAAUUAGUAUAUAUUAUUAUAAAAUAAUAUUUUAAGUCUGGGGAAUUGUAGAAAUAGAAAUCUAAAGAUGCUAUCUUGGCCAUUAAAUGUUUUAUAUAGUUUAUUGUGAUACUCACAUUUUUCAAGGGGUAAUGUGCACAUUAACAGAUUUUUCUGAUAUUAAAUGAAAUAUUGUUGAUAAUAUUACUAUAGUGGUAGUCAUUUCCUUAAAAAUUAGUUUAGUAGCACACUGAACACUGAUGAAUUCAGGGAACUUUUAAGUAUUUAUUUGAAUCUAAGACUAGUGCCUUUUUUGAUCUUCUAGUUUCUAUAAAUGGAAAAUUUUAACCUUAAAAUUUAAAAUGCAUUUCAAUUUAAGUAGGUAACAUGUGUUUGUAAAAAAAUGGAUGUGUUGGUAUAGAUGCACUAGUGCUUUCAGUUUGCUGAACCUACAGCAUGCUCAGAAGGUUAUGUGCACAGGCUGUACUUUUUGAACUUGAUUUAUGUGGCUUCUACGCCCUUAACUCUUCAACUGCAUCAUUUGACUUAUACCUCACAUGCAUAAAAUAUUGCUUGCUAGUGGUAUGUGAUUUUUGUUGAUGGGGUGUUUUCCAUCACUGUGAUGCAUGUCUCUGGUCAAACUAGUUUUCAUUUGGUGCAGCCAGUUGUAAAAUGAAUAGUUCGAAGUGGCAUGUCUUUUUUUUUGUCAUAGAAUCGCGUAUUUACAUAUUGUGUGUAAUUUCUCUUGUGUUGUGAUUUUUGCCUGCAACCCUAGACUGCUUGGCACUGAAGGCUACACUUUUUGGAUAAAAUUGACUUUUUUUUCUGCAGCAAAAGAGUUAAGUGAGUAGAGAUUCUUCUUUGACAUGUCAAGUGAGUGGUACCGUUCUAAAAUGUAGGUUAUCCUUGUCUUCGCUUACAGAGUGGUCUACCUGUGGUUAUCAACAUUUCAUCUUGACAUGACAGUAGACUGUUCGCCCCUUUUUCUCGUGCCACAUUCUGAUCUACCAUCUUGCUAAAUAACAGGGACUACUUAUUACAAAUGUGAAUAGUUUUACUUAUUACAAAUGAAGAUGAGUUUCUCUGCAAAUGUUAGGUUACACCUGCCACAAAUAUCAGUCUCUAAAUCCUUUUUGGAGCAUUUUAAAAUCAGGUAACUUUGAAAUAUUAAUUUACAUUACAUUUCAUGCUAAUUUUAACUGACUAGAGUAAAACAGUAGGUACACAGCCCUUUAAUUUUUGGAUAUAAAAAAAAUUUCAAGUCUUGACUGAAAAAAUAUUAGCAGUUUUAAAAAUGUAGAAAUGAAAUAUAAUAUGUAAGUUUUGACUUCAAAUUUAGGCCUUCUUAGUAAUUUACUUGUUUACUAAAUAUAUAUAAAUAAAUAUGAUUAUAAAGGUUUUUACUACCAGUUAAAAAAAAAAGGAAUGUAUUUGUCAUCAUUCUCUAGAUUUUCUGCAUUUAUUACACCCUGCAAUUAAUCAGAUAAGUGCAUUGUCAGACCUGAAGAUUUUAGCGUUCUGCGAUUCAACGGGGCAUUCAGCAGUGCCGAUUCCAUCUACUCUUGUAAACAAAGAUUGCCCAUUACAGCUUUAUUUGCAUCUAUCAUUUUUUGUUCUGUUUUUGAGACCAAAGAACAACUUUGAUACACAGCUCAUAGAUUUCUUCUAUGAACUUCUCUACAUACAUUCACUUUAAAUCUUUCAAUUCUCCUUGUCACUUUUUGUUCACAAUUGCUGGAGAAUAAACCUCUGAAAAUUUGGUUUGCCACACUGUAACCAUUUUAACUCUGCUACAAAUUUUUACAGUGUAUUUUAAGAUGUACUGGUGAUAGCUUUUGUUUUUUCACAAUCCUAACAUAUCAAAAAGUCACAUAAUUUCUAUUAAUAAACAUGGCAUCAAAAAACCUGAAAUAGCAAACAACUGAUUAAUUCCAUUACACUUAUGAAGUUUUAACGUACCAAAAACAUUUACCCAAAGGCAAUAUAUAAUGCUGUAACUUCAGUACUUGUGUGAAAUAAUGCUCUGGGAUGAAUGUUUUUGAUCUGUUUAGUCAAAAACUUGGAAGUGUUGUUUCAUCAGUUUUUCAUCAGCUGUCUCCAUGUUUACGAGCGGAACAUAAUUUAAGUGGAAAAAUGCCAGUCCAAUCUUUGUAAAUAUUUAUGAACUUUGCUGUUUUUUCGUCAAUCGGUUUUAAUCUUGAAAAGUAUUUGAAAACGGAAAUAAGUGCAUGAACAGAAGGUCUGUGUUAGGCAGUCAUUAGUCCUAUUGUAAACUAUGCAUCCUUUUCAAUCUCUGUAACUCAAAAAAAAAGUGAAUCUUAAAAUUGAAUAAAUUUGGCAAAUGUAAAACUACAUCAAUUGGGAGAUGCACCCCAUUUUCUGAGCUUCAUGAGUCAUAUAAGUAAGUAAGCUUCUUAUAAGUAAGUUAUGACAUAAAACUUAAAAACAAAAACCAAAAUGGCUGGAUUGUUUUUUUUGUUUUCUUUCUCCCUAUUUGUAAUGAUGCGUUCAUUUUAGAUUCUGGUAAAUACUGUAAGUUGAGGGUAAAAAUUUGCCAUCAUUAUGAGAUACAAGCAGUUAUUCUAGAUAUCCAUGUGAUUCGACCGCUCUCUAUGGCCAGAUGAACGGGAAGGCAGUGAGAUACAUGAAUGCUUUGGAACACGCCUGCUAAACUGUCACAAUACUUUGAUGUAACCACGUAGGUAGUCCCAGCGAUCCAAGCUUACCUUCGAAGUAUGUAGUGGUUACAACCACGAUAUUGGGUACAGUUUCAACAUUACCUCCUGUGAAGUAUUGCUGACCAGAAAUAAAUAUUUUUAUUUAUAGGUCUUCUUUUAGCAUUUUAAUGGGAAUUUCAAUUCAGCUUUCUUUCAGCAAAAAAAUGCACAGUAAUUAAAAAAUUAAAUUAAGCAUUUGGAUGUAAACAUUUAUGGUUUAUUACAAAAAAAUAGUUUGAAAUGCCUUCUCUUUUUUUAAUGAAAAAAUAUAUAUAUGUACAAGUGUUUACUGUCAGUGAUGUCCAAGUAUUGUAAUUCUAAUUUAAUUUUUAAGAGUUGAUGUAGAUGCAAGAAAACGGUUGACAAAUUAUUUUGUGAGGUAAACAAUCUUUUUUUUUUUAAUUGUGGAGUGAAUGCUGAAGGUUACUGUAGUAUUUUCAAGUGAAGGAUAUGUGUUGUGUUGAUAUAUUGCCAUCAACACUGUUCGGCAAGUAUUUGUAGUUACUUUUAUAAAGUGUUUUAGGUUUCUAUAGUGUUCAUAAAACGUGUUGGCAGGAUGCUAAUGGCAGCCAGAGUUGUGAAUGUAUGGUGUGCCCCCAAUUGUAAAUAAAAAUUGUUCUCCACUGUUAUGAAUCGGGCAGUAUUCUACUUCUAAAUAAACUGGUGCUAUUUUAUAUGUUGUCGUCUGUGUGUGUUUGUGUGGUGUUAAACGAUAACCAAUGUGUAUUUCGGGAUAAUAUGAAACUGAAGCCUUUAUUUGUAAGGCAAAGUUAAAGCCAUGUAAGAUUAAUGCUAUUUUUUUUUUCCCUGAACAUAAUUAUUAAUAUGGUCUAUAUCGUUAGUGUAUAUAUAUUUUGUUUAAAAAAUGUAGCUUAAAAUUAUUCUCAACAGAUAUGCAAAUAAAUAUUAGCUAAAA
Molecule: RNA transcript, 11452 nt
Organism: Bacillus rossius redtenbacheri
Lineage: Eukaryota; Metazoa; Arthropoda; Insecta; Phasmatodea; Bacillidae
Gene: pbl
Gene name: protein ECT2
Exons: 20
Source: RefSeq, a predicted model, not a curated record